GACGAACGCUGGCGGCGUGCUUAACACAUGCAAGUCGAACGGAAAGGCCCUGCUCUUGUGGGGUUCUCGAUUGGCGAACGGGUGAGUAACACGUGAGUAACCUGCCCUUGACUUUGGGAUAACUUCAGGAAACUGGGGCUAAUACCGGAUAGAAUCUCCUGCUGCAUGGUGGGGGUUGGAAAGUUUCGGCGGUAGGGGAUGGACUCGCGGCUUAUCAGCUGGUUUGUCGAGUAGUUGCUUACCAAGGCUUUGACGGGUAGGCGGCCUGGGAGGGUGACCGGCGACAAGGGGCCUGAGAGACGCAGCAGAAGCGAACGGGAGGCAGUAGUGGGGAAUAUGGCGGAAUGGGCGGACGCGUGAGGCAGAAACGCCGGGUGCGGGAUGACGGCUUUCGGGUUGUAAACAGAUGUCGCCGGAGACGAAGCGUGAGUGACGGUAAUGGGUAAAGAAGCACCGGCUAACUACGUG
This 468-nucleotide ribosomal RNA is filed under the name uncultured bacterium. RNAcentral describes it as "partial 16S ribosomal RNA". It matches the Rfam family "Bacterial small subunit ribosomal RNA", at positions 28 to 507 of the family's 1533-position model. The record is from RNAcentral.